RNAcentral lists this long non-coding RNA (8025 nucleotides) under Hordeum vulgare. RNAcentral describes it as "long non-coding RNA (HVUL_LNC014697)". Lineage: Eukaryota; Viridiplantae; Streptophyta; Magnoliopsida; Poales; Poaceae. The record is from RNAcentral.
UCCUAUCCAUACAGGCAAUGCUCCAUCGAACUCGUUCAUUGCAAGAUCAAGGGAAAUCAAUUGUGCGCAAUUUUGGAGCAUAGGCGGGAAAUUACCGGAGAAGUUAUUGUUACUCAAGUGUAGGAAGUUCAAGUUUGGCAUUGAAGAACACCUCGGAAAUUCUCCCACAAACCUAUUCUUGGACAAAUCCAAGAAAACUAGGUUUUUCAACUCACAAAUAGGUCUAGGAACGUGACCAGUGAUGUAAUUGGAGGAUAGACUUAGCCCUGUAAGAUAUGGAGCUCCAAAAUCUGAUGGCAAAGGUCCUGACAAGCUGUUCAUGGAUAAGUCCACUUCGGUGAGGUUUCUCGGUAAUGUUGGUAUCUGGCCACUUAGUUGGUUCAAACCGAGAGCGACUGAUUGCAAACUAGUACAAUUCACUAGUCCAGUUGGUAUAGCUCCACUAAUGCUGUUAUUAUAAAGGGAAAGUUCCUCCAAGCUGGUGAAGUGCCCCACCAUGUCUGGCAGCAUUCCUGCCAUAUUGUUGUUAUCUGAGCUCAAAUAACGCAAUUUGCUGGAUGAACAGUGUGGCAAUUUCGUCACGAAGUCUGUCAGGUUCCCAGAUUCAAGACUCCCAUCGAGAGUUAGACUCUCUAAAUCACAUAGAUUUUUCAAGUCCACCGUCAUUGUGGCUAAAUUACCGUUAUUUGUAAAAUGGAGUUGUCGGAGGGACGUCAUACCUCCUAGCGCAUCAGGGAAUGGACCAUAAAGAUAGGUUGAAUCGAGUCCUAGCUCCUUGAUGCUUGUUAGGUUCCAGAACCAACACGUUUCGAUUCGGUGGCCCAAAUAGUUUCCGGAGAGAUCAAGCUCCUCUAGUUUUGUGAGGUUUACGUGUGUAAGCGACUGGUUUGCAUUUGGAAGCGAGCAAUUGAUAAGAAUAAGGGUCUUCAGAGAUGUGCUUGUGUUGGCCACGAGAAACACAUCCGCGCUGCUGAGAUUCAUAUAACUCAUGUCAACAUAUUCUAGGAAAUGGAGAUGAGUUAACCAUGAGAUAUCUGAUGUGGGUGUAUCUUGCAUGGAACUGAGGUCAAGCUGUCGCAAGUUUGAAAGGUUUCCAAGCUGAGGCCUCAGUAUACCCGACAUGCUAGUGCCAGAGAGGUCGAGAUACUCCAACUUUGAAAGGCUGAAAAACUGAGCAGGGAAUCUACCAGAAAAUUGUGUGAUUGACAGACCAAGGUACUCCAAAUUUAAAAGGUUAGCAAGCUGAGCAGGCAAUCUACCAGAGAAUGGUGUCCAUGAGAGAUCGAGGUACUCCAAAUUCGAAAGGUUGGCAAGCUGAGCAGGCAAUCUACCGGAGAAGUGUGUAUCUGAGAGAUCGAGGUACUCCAAAUUCGAAAUGUUGGCAAUCUGGGCAGGCAAUCUACCGGAGAAUUGUGUCGCUGAGACAUCGAGGUGCCUCAAGUUGCUUAAAGAACACAAGAAUUCUGGGAACAAAGAAGUACCGUCUGGUCCAAGUAGGUUGGUGUUGCUAAGACUCAGGUACUGUAGAUGCUCGAGAGAAACCAGGGAAGGACUUAUCUUGCCGUCCAAAUCGGUGCCACCAAAGUCAAGCUCGAUCACAUGGCCGGUUUCGUUGCUGCAGGUCACGCCCCACCAGCGGCAACAAUGUUUGUGCCGUCUUUGCCACGAGGCGAGGACGUCGUCGGUGUCGUUGACGGCUUGCUUGAUGGCCAGCAGUGCGUCCCUCUCGUGCGGCAAGCAGCUCGCGCCAGCCGCAUGGGCUGGCUGGGGCUGCCGGGCAUGGGCGGCGAUGGAGAAGAUGGCGACCGUGGCGAGGAGCGAGGCGAGCAGCUUGGCAACCGAGCGAUGCAUGGCGAGAGUGCAGCGCAUAAUGUGGAGUCGUUUGUGAGACGUGUAGACGUGUGGGUGCCGUCAGUCCUCUGCUUGUCCUGCCUGAGUCGCGACUGAGGCACUUGAGAGAGUAUUAUUAUGAUAUGCACGUACUCGUGAUGAUGAGCAACAGAUCACACUGGACGCACGAUAAGAAAGGUGAUGACACAUAUGCAAAUAUCUUCGUGGAAAUAGUGUUGACCGGAUCGGACACGGCUAUUGAUAAUCGUGGGAAUAUUUGACGCGGCUGUCACCGAGGUUAUUUCUUUUAGAAAGCGCACACAAGAAUUAGGCCAAAAGUUACCUGCCUUCUGCAAAACAAAAUUAGGCCAAACGUAGACAUUCUCAUGCGGCAAAGACAACGACUUUAAUCUUCGGCAGCAGGGCAUGCUUCUCCCAUUCUGAUGUAUUUAAUUAGUUAGAGGAACAUGCUAGUGUGGUUAUGGGUAACCCCAUCCAGUUGGCUAGCUAGUGAUAGCCCUUUUUUCUAUGAUACUCCCUCCGUCCAUAAAUAAGUGUACAUAUAGCAACAUAUAUGGCAUGAAAAUGAUAUAUUUGAAAAUUUCAUGUAAAGAUAAAUCUAUUGAUACUUAUUUGACGUCAUAAAUGCUAGCAUUUUUUUCAAUAAAGUUAGUCAAAUUUGAACUAGUUUGACUGAUAGAAAAGGAAAAAGUACACUUAUUACCGGACGGAGGGAAUAGACUCAAUGAAAACUGUCAGGUUCGGGAAAAAAAAACCCCACGUCCUCCUCCUCUCGCGACAUGGGGGGUCGAUACCCACACGUCGCCGCCGACUCUCCUUCUUUCUCCCUAGCUCUCAUCGUGUUGCUGCCGAAGGCACCAUCGGUGAAGCCAGGGCGGCUCCAAGGACGGCGGCGGUGGGGCGGUCCUAUGAGCAAUCUAUCCCCAGUUCUCCCGGCGUCAUGGCUGGUGGCGCGGCCUCACUCACAUCCUCUCGCACCCUCUCGUUGAAUGCUCCCUCACAUCCUCUCGCACCCUCUUAUGCAACCGAACCCACCAUGUGUACUCGAUAUGGCUGGACUCAGCCUGACUUGUUAGGAACUCCUAGCACACAUGUCUCGGGAGUGGUUUAAGUUUUAUGUGGGACCAAAUACUUGAAUUUUGCACCAUGCGGAUCUUGUUGGGCCUGAGUCUACCAAACACGCCACAUCAAACUGGCCACAGACACUUUACAAAUCUGAAACCGCCAUAAUAUCACUACUAGUAGUAAUCUUUUGGGUAUGAAGGCACAUGUAAACUUUCAGCAGCAACCAUCACGAAUGUUAGUUACCGUUGGAAUUUCAUGUCCAAUUAACUUAUAUGCUUCUUCCUACGAUGAACGAAUCUCAUGCACAAAAAAUAUUUAAUCACCCUCCUCUAGCCACACGGGGGAAAACCUAGUCACACCACGAGGCCUCCUCUACCCUGCUUUGCCGCCGCUGGAGGGGACACAUGCAGAGCAGCGUGUGCCCGAGGGAAGGUGGCUGUGGGGCAUCCUUGUUGGCCUGCUGGUGUCAUGCGUAGGACUCACAAUGGCUGAUAGUGCGUGAUGAUCCGGCACUUCGUGACGGUUUGGUGGUCCUCCUGCUUGUGGGGUGGCGUCCCUAUCCGGUGGCAUGGCCUUUCCCUGAGCGACCCUUGGUGGUGUCAGCUUGUCAUCUUGUGCUAGAGUACUUUGUCAGCUGCUACUGGGACAUGUUUUCCGAGUAGAGAUUUAUUUGGUACGCUCAAAAAUACUGUAAUAGGCGUCACCAUAACGGAUUGAAAUCAGAGAACCAUUAUUCCCUUUCCCCCCCUAUUUUCUGUUAUUUUUUUAAAUAAUUCAGGACUUCAAAAAUGUUUGGAAUUAAAAUCAAAAUGUUUGUGAAUUUUAGAAAUAUCAUCAUUUCAAAUACAAAUCCGGAUUUUAAAAAAUGUUUGUGUAUUCAUAAAAUGUUCAUGAUUUUUUUAAAAACAAAUUCCAUCGAUUUUGUUUUUUUUUAAUUAUGAAAAUGUAAAAAAUUUAUAAAAAACUUCCUGAAAGUUGCAGAGAUGAUCGCAAUUUAAAAAAAAAUGUUAAUAAAUUUGUAAAAACUUUUUGUGAAUUUGAAAAGUGUUCAUGAUUUCAAAAAUUGGUCAUGAUUGACAACAUUGUUUGUGAAUUCAAAAAAUGCUCAUGAUUUGUAAAAGAAUCCAUGAAUUUGGAAGAAAGUUAACAAUUACAGAAAAAUAUGAACAUAUUUCAAAUGUAAUGGAAAUAUUUUGAAUUUAUAAAAUGUUUACCCCAAUUUUAAAUAAGGGUCAAGUUAAAAAAUCACCUAUUUGAGAAAAAAAUAUUGGCUAUGCAGAAACGUUCUCUGAAUGAGUGCCAAAAUUUGGCUAUGCAGAAACGUUCUCUGAAUUAAAUAUGUUUCUUCACCUGCCAUACUGAUACGUGUUUUGAAAGUCUGGAAUUUGUCCGAAUGUUGUUUUUCCAUCGGUUGGUUUUGUGUGGGGAGUUAAUGGAUGAUUAUGAAUGCAAUGGAAUCUGUUUUCUCGUGAUGUUAUCUUGGUUGUUGCAUAUCCCGACAUGUUUCUAUCUCCUUGCCACUACCAACUUGUUACCUGAAUCCAGUACUUUGCUGUAGUUUUGUUCGCUGAAUUCACGAACACAAAAUUUCGUUCAGGAGUAUGAUUUUUUGCUGAAUGCGCGCCUAAAUUUCUGUCUCAAAAAGAACAUAUCAUGCAGCGGGUGGAGCUCAAAACGACCAGGAAACAUAUCAUUGCCUUUCUUUUUUAUCUGGUUAUGCGCAAAUGUUCACUCGACUUAAAUGUUUUCUUCAUCAGUCAUACUGAUCUGUGAUCUGAAAUUCUGGAGAUGUCAGAUUGAAGCAGAGGCUGUGCAAUUGCCCAUUGCAAAUUGGAUGGUUUCAUCCAGCUGGUUAAACAAUUGCUCAUUGCACAACAAAAAAGUUAUCUGCCAUCCUUGCUGACGAUCUUGUGCUACUUUGUCAGCACUAGUUUGCUACUGUGACAUGUUUUCCGAGUAAUCAUUUUAUUUGGCACCGCUCAACAAUAUUGCAUCAAGCCACAAGAGAACAGAUUGAAACGGGGAAACUUUAUUCUAGAUGACACCAUUAAACAAGAUGAGAGAGGAGGAUCCCUAGCACUUUGUCUAACAGCGUCGAAGCGAUGGUCCGAGCCCGAGCUGGCCAAACGGCCCGGCCCGCCAGGCACGGUAUACCCACGUGUUGUUUCACCUGCUAGGUUGUUUUUUGGUCAUUUCGACCUAUUGGGGUGUUUUUAGGCCAUACAUAUGUAAGAAGUAAUCUAAAUAAAAACUAAAUAAAUAAGUGGGCAGUGUUGAGCCGGCCCAUGUGCCUAGCCUCCAGGCCCGGACAUGGCUCCUGACUUGGCGCGUGUGUCUAGCACGAUCCAUUUAGUCCAUGCGGUGCCUGCAUGCUAACAGGCUGGCCCAGCUAGCACGACCCCUUCGGCCAGCUUUAGUCCCAUGCAAAGGGUAAAAGAGGUGCUUCCCUGUUCGGUGCAUAGAGCGCAACAAAGCUACUAUACACGUACCCCCUCGUGUGUUGGGUAGCGUUUGGGCCGACCCAUUUUACGGGUUUUUUCCUACCUUUUUUCCUUCUUCUAUUUUUUCCUUUUUCGUUUUCACUUUUAUUUUCUGUUUUCGUUUUUCUUCUCUUUUUUUCUCAUUUACCUUCAUUUUUUUGUGAGUUUACUUUUAAAUCGACGGAUGUUUUUUUAUCAAAUUAAAAAAAUGUUCAUCGACUUCAUUUUUUAUUUAUCGUGAUCUUUAAAACUGUUCAUCAACCUUCUAAAAAAUUUCAUCGAAUUUCAAAAACGCUCAUCAAAUUAGAAAUUUCUUCGUUUUUUAAAAAUGUUCUUGAAUACACAUUUUGUUCAUCAAGUUCAAGAAGAUUUCAUAUAAUUCGAAAUUUGUUCAUCAAAUACCAGAAUUUGUUCAUCAUUAAAAAGGAUCAUCAAAAUUGUUCUUCAAAAUACAAAAAAUAUUCAUUAUUUUGAAAUCCCGAGCAUUUUCUGAAUUCGAAAACUAUUUUUGAAUUUGGUUAACAUUUUUUUAAUCUAUGAAUGUUUUUUGGAAGUUAGAAUUGUUUUUGAGAUCUAAAAAACACAGGCACCUGACGCCCCACAUGGGCCAGCCCAGAAGGGCGCACCUGNNNNNNNNNNNNNNNNNNNNNNNNNNNNNNNNNNNNNNNNNNNNNNNNNNNNNNNNNNNNNNNNNNNNNNNNNNNNNNNNNNNNNNNNNNNNNNNNNNNNCCCCCCGCAGCCUCGCCUACGUCUCCGGCUUCUUCUCGUGUGGGAGUGGGACCUGUCACCGGCAACCAGCACCGCCCGGAUAUGCCCUCAGGGUUCGAGACAGGGAAAGCCUCAUUGCGGUGGUGCUUCGUGCUUCUGGAGACAUCGCGAUACAAGAUACACAAGUCGUCACCUCUGUUUACUCGUGGGUAAGCGCUUUCCUAUACACAUCCUAUGUAAGAUUAGACAGUCGCUUGAAACAAACAAGUUUGUUUUUGCUAAAGUUGUACACUUCCAAACAACAUUUUAUAAUGAAUCUUUUAAGACGAUUGAGAUAUAUUAAAAUUAACCAGCUAAGAAUUAGCAAAAUAACCGGAAAACUCGUAUGCUUAAUGCGCACAAAUACAAUAUAUUAAGAUGCGGAAAAUUGUACAAGCCACUCUGCUAGNNNNNNNNNNCAGUUCAGAUUACAAAUCAUCAACCGUCGACAUGAAUCGAAACAGAGCUAGAAACUAAAAAGACGUGCCGGGUUCAUCAUGACAAAUACAAACCAAUGAGAGUUACAUGCAUCAGAAAAACUUCAUAUCACAAGAUAGACAAAUACGUACUUGUACAAGCUGCUAAAUACUUCUUCACCGUUAUUUAUUCAUGGAGCAGAGUGCCGCCGGCAUUAUUCGAUUUAGCACAUCACUCAACCUGCAAUCGCCUUUGUGUUUAUCCGGCCGCAAGUAACAACAACAAACAUGUACACCUUGUCACAUAGCUCGUCGAUGAGGCGAAAGUAGGCAUAUCUCCACGCCCUUUUGAAUAGGAAAGCACAGAACACAAGCCAGAGUCCGACCACAAAGCCAGACGCUAUCCCAAUGUAGAAGAACAUCACUGGGUCAUAAGCAUUUUCACCUCUCUGCUGAUUCCCAUACCCCGGUGGACUGUUGCCUGAGCAAUUCCUGUGAAGAGGACGCCCGCAAAGGCGACUGUUGCCAUCAUACAUGGACGGAUCUUCUGCGUACAGAGUAUCUAGUUGACUGCCUGCUGGAAUUCUUCCUGCAAGAUUGUUGUAUGACAAGUCUAAGGAGCUUAGAAAUGUCAAAUCUGAGAGGCUCGUUGGGAUUUCACCGGAGAUAUUGUUUCUUGACAAGUCGAGUGAUUCCAGUGAUUUCAUAUCCCCAAUCUUCACAGGAAUUUUAUUGCUCAGGUGAUUCAAUGAUAAAUUCAAACUCAACAGUCCGUUCAGAGAAGUUAUCUCAUCUGGAAUUUCCCCGGUCAAUUGGUUGAGCGAAAAAUCAAUGCUGACCAUGUUGAUAACUGCAUCACCACUAAACUUAAGUUCUUGCUGCUUCAUCGCCACAGACAAAAUAUCCACGGGAAGCUGCAGAAUUAUACUGCUUUCAGACCACCGUGAGUCAAGUCUUCGCAGAUGUUUCAGGGUCAUAGCUCUUAAUUUUGACAAGGAUGAUGGAAUUGAUCCGGAUAUAUUGUUGCUCGCUAAACUGAAUUGUUGAAGUAGUACAAGACUUGUAAUGCUAGCUGGAAUAUCUCCAUUGAACAUGUUAUGGUUUAGCUGCAGAAACCGCAAGUUCACUAGGUCCCCGAUCCAUACUGGUAAUGCUCCACCGAACUUGUUCAUUGCAAGAUCAAGGAAAGUCAAUUCUGAACAGUUUUGGAGCAAUGCCGGGAAAUUUCCGGAGAAGUUAUUAUUACUUAAGUAUAGGAAUUGUAAGCCUGACAUUGAAGAACACCUGGGAAAUUCUCCCACAAAUCUAUUCUGGGACAAAUCCAAGAAAUACAGGUGUCGCAACUUGCAAAUAGGUCUAGGAAUGUGACCAGUGAUGUAGUUGGAGGAUAGACUUAGUACAGAAAGAUCUGGAGCUCCAAAAUCUGAUGGCAAAGGUCCUGACAAGCUGUUCAUGGAUAAGUCCAC